This is a long non-coding RNA of Lolium perenne, 1228 nucleotides long. RefSeq lists it as uncharacterized. Lineage: Eukaryota; Viridiplantae; Streptophyta; Magnoliopsida; Poales; Poaceae. The record is from RefSeq and is a predicted model, not a curated record.
CCUGCGCUGUUGGCGUAGCCUCUACCGACGAGUAUAGUCCGGCAAGACGACGUACGUACACGAGCACUUCCGUCGAGUUGCACGCACGCUCAAAACAGCUAGCACCCUGGUACGCAUGGAAUGGAUCCAUGCAAGAUGAUGUUGACCAGACCAAGUCACGACGCCAAUAUUCGGAGAUCACCUUGCCAUGGACGCCUAGGAGCCGGCUCCGUCACGCCCGCUGAAAGCUCCACAUCUACGCACCGAUCGCCUCCAACGGAGCUUCUGCCGUAGACCACAUCAUCACGUUGACACAUCUUCAUCAACCCCUCCCCGACAAGGGCGCCAACUACGGCGACACGAAGAACGUCUUCAUUGACUCGCCAGCAAGGUGGUGAGGACAACAACUACAUCGACACGCUGACAUUCGUCUACGUCAACCCGACUACGCCAGUCGAGUCACACGACCACUACCUGCCAAGCCUCCAUGGGCCCAUGCACACCUCCAACAUCACAAGAUCUACAUCGCCAAGUUCAUUCAUCAUCGUCAUCAAGCCACGCUGCCACACGACGACGUUCAUGUCUACUCCGACAACCACAUCGACCCUCUUCCCCAACAUCGGCCUAGCACCGACGAGGCGAAGCCACUCCACUGACUGUCUUUUCUUCGAUGAAGCAAACCAUUUCUUGCCGGGCACCGACGAGGCGAAGGCGGGACAUCAAGUCCGACACCGACGAGGCGGACACCACUAGGCCUGGCACCGACGAGGCGAAGGCCGCCCAUCUGUCUGAGCUGACGAGGCUAGACAUCUUCAUCAUCGGACAUCGACAAGCCGGAGAGAAUGGCUAAGCAUCGCCGGGGCGACGGACGUACCGUCCCGCUUUCCACUUCACCAUCACAUCAUCAUCGUCUACGCCAAGUGCAUGGAGAAGACAAGACUUGAAGACGACGACCAUUGCAGCAGCUUAAUCGGAGGUGGUCCGCGGUGUUGACUCGCGGACGUAAUUAAUCGGGAGCCUUCCGAGGCCCCGUGAAUCAGAACACACAAUCGCCCAAGUCAUAUCGGCCGCGCUAGCAGGCCACGGAGCGCAUAUGUAAAGGGAUCUUGUAAUUUCGUUUCUCCAUUGAGAGAUUAAUAAAAAUACAUGUUUUCCUAUAUUUUAUUUGUGUACUUAUGUACACUGGCACGCCCGCAUAUUCAUUUUACCCUGGCACGCAGAGAGAUAAUAUUUAUUCCACAUUUUAUUA